UACGUAGGUGGCAAGCGUUGUCCGGAUUUAUUGGGUUUAAAGGGUGCGUAGGCGGCUUUGUAAGUCAGUGGUGGAAUAUGGCAGCUCAACUGUCAGGGUGCCAUUGAUACUGCGGAGCUUGAGUACAGAUGAGGUAGGCGGAAUUGACGGUGUAGCGGUGAAAUGCUUAGAUAUCGUCAAGAACACCGAUAGCGAAGGCAGCUUACUGGGCUGUAACUGACGCUGAGGCACGAAAGUGUGGGGAUCAAACAGG
RNAcentral lists this ribosomal RNA (253 nucleotides) under uncultured bacterium. RNAcentral describes it as "partial 16S ribosomal RNA". It matches the Rfam family "Bacterial small subunit ribosomal RNA", at positions 524 to 776 of the family's 1533-position model. The record is from RNAcentral.